CUGGUGUCAGCCGCCGCGGUAAUACCAGCACCCCGAGUGGUCGGGACGAUUAUUGGGCCUAAAGCAUCCGUAGCCGGUCCUACAAGUCUUCCGUUAAAUCCACCUGCUUAACAGAUGGGCUGCGGAAGAUACUAUAGGGCUAGGAGGCGGGAGAGGCAAGCGGUACUCAGUGGGUAGGGGUAAAAUCCUCUGAUCCAUUGAAGACCACCAGUGGCGAAGGCGGCUUGCCAGAACGCGCUCGACGGUGAGGGAUGAAAGCUGGGGGAGCAAACCGGAUUAGAUACCCGGGUAGUCCCAGCUGUAAACGAUGCAGACUCGGUGAUGGGUUGGCCUUGUGCCAACCCAGUGCCGCAGGGAAGCCGUUAAGUCUGCCGCCUGGGGAGUACGGUCGCAAGACUGAAACUUAAAG
Molecule: ribosomal RNA, 409 nt
Filed under: uncultured Nitrososphaerota archaeon
Lineage: Archaea; Thermoproteati; Nitrososphaerota
Description: bacterial SSU rRNA
Rfam family: Archaeal small subunit ribosomal RNA
Source: RNAcentral